This 579-nucleotide long non-coding RNA is filed under the name Cyanistes caeruleus (blue tit). RNAcentral's name for it is "lncRNA (ENSCCEG00000013795.1)". The record is from RNAcentral. Lineage: Eukaryota; Metazoa; Chordata; Aves; Passeriformes; Paridae.
ACCACCCCAGCUUUCAACAGUUGCUUGACUUACAUACUGGGAUAACUAAAAUAUGAAAUGUGUGUUUAAGAUACCUUGGAGCUACGAUGGCAUUUUGAUAGUAAAAGCUGUCAGCUACUGCAGGUACAGAACCAAAUAUGUAAGAAACAGCCAACAGAGAGAUUCGGGAGGAAAUAGACUUUGUGAAGAAACACAGCCCUCUGCUGGAAGAAAAGCUGAAUCCAAGGACAAAGCCGUGGAGGAUGUACGAAAAGACAUCUUUCAGAAUAUGGAGACAUCAGAAGCUGUCAAAAAAAGCUAACAAGAUUCAAUUUUUCUUUAGUGCUGAUGUAUGUUUGUCCUAAUGUAUGUAUUUACUUAUGGUAUUUAUUGAUUGUAAUAUUGAUAAUUUUUUUUUACGAUAAUUGCCUAAUGUGGAGGAUGCCAGUCUAAAUAAUCAAAGUAAAACAAAGUUGCAGGUAGCUUAAAAUUGAUUUCUCCUGAACUGGAGGGAUACUGUGUUACUUCAAGUUCAGAAAUGAGGAAUAAUUAUUAUGUUUUCCAUAUAUUUUCUACGAUAUGUUAUAAAUGUAAAGCUAG